Long non-coding RNA from Papaver somniferum (opium poppy), 2435 nucleotides. RefSeq lists it as uncharacterized. The record is from RefSeq and is a predicted model, not a curated record. The transcript is spliced from 10 exons. Lineage: Eukaryota; Viridiplantae; Streptophyta; Magnoliopsida; Ranunculales; Papaveraceae.
UUCCUUUCCUUUCCUUUCCUUUCCUUGCUUUCUCUUCGACAUGAUCGACAGCAAAACGGAGAAACUAAAAACCCCAGAUCUCCUCCACCUCUUUCACCUGAUCUCUUUCCUGUCUUUCAUUUGAUCUCAUUAUAUCUCUCAGCUGAUCCUUGUUAUUUUUUGAAGCACUUUUGGCGAUUUCGGUUUGUAAAAAGAAAGAUCUUAUUGAGGAUUUGGUUUCAUCUACUGUAGGAGAUGGCGCUUGCUGAUGAAAUGCAGUGGAAACAGUUAGUCAAGGAAAACUUAAUCAUGUUAUCUACUUGGGAUGAUACUUCUACAAGGAAUUGGUAUAUCUUAUCUAAGGUAGAUAACGAUAGUUAAGUUUUAGAAACCGUUCAACCUUGCAAUCAAAAACUUCAGGGUAUAUCGACAACUUUUAAUUCCGGUGGAGUACUACAUUGUCACGGCGGAAGACAAGAAGAUGGUGUAGUAAGUAGUCAAAACUUUUCUUUUAAUCUGAGAACAAAAAAGUGGUCCAAGUCAGCUGACCUCCAAACACCAAGAUGCGGUCAUGUUUCAUUCUCUACAACAACUGCAGAUUGUUUUAUUAUGGGAGGCAGUAGUUCAAAUCUGUUAGAGCAUUUUACGUUGAUUGGUCAAUCAAUUCUUAGCCAAUCACCAAACAAUAAGUAUGCUGGUUUGACUGAUUUAAGGGUAUCUUCGUUUGCGUGUACCAAGUCCAGGAGAUCUUCAGUUGAGAUUUAUAUAGGGAUGGUAGUCAUGUUACCUACGAUAUAUAACAAACAGAAAAUGGAGUAAAACUUUUAAAUAUCCAGAGAUGUUCGCUAAAUCUCCAGAGAACGUUGAGUCUCCUAUAAUUUCAGGUCAAAUGAUUUCUGUGUUGAACAAUCAUUUUUGCUUCUUCAAUCUUUCUAAGAAUGCGUAGUCAGAAGGAAUUGAGCUUCCAUUUCCUCUAAAAGCCAACGAGAAAAUCCAUCUCUUGGUUUUUGGGAAAGACCGUCUCUUAGUGUUGUAUGUUUUCACCAAGGGGAAACUAAAUUGUUAUAUGUAUCAAGUUGGGAAGACUGUAUUAACAUUCAUCACUGGUGGAAUAUUUACCUUAUCAAAAAAAAAAGAUGGCAAACCAUAUGACGUUUUGGAGAGAUUGCACUUAUCAACUGCGUCGUCUUUAUUUGUUGCAAAGACGCAACAACAAUUAGAUGAAAUAGCGAAAAUCAAGUAUUAGACCGUCUAAAGUUCGGAGCUGUGGUCUUCUGAUUGGAAACAAAGUACCGCACAGUAUUAGACCGUCUAAAGUUCUUCAGAACUACAUUCCAAGCGAUGGAGAAAGGCCGUGCAUGCAUGAAGGUUGGAGUAUACCUUUAAAGCCUGUCCUUGAAGCUGGUGGCUUGUGGAAACAAGACAAGCUUAUCAAUACAUAUUUCAUGACUGAGAAGCUUGCUACAAUCACAUUCGAGAUACUAAAGACACUUGUUGGAUACAAGAAACAAGGUCGUUGGAUAAGGGGUAUAAACAAAGAAAAUGUGGUUUUCCAGAAAGAUGAUACUUGUUUCAGGUAUCCACAGUUCAUGGAUUGUCUGGUUCUAACAGUGAAGAGUCUAAAGAUACACGGUUCAGAUCUCUUGCAACAUUGAUUCGAUCUACAAUUAACUUUAGCGAAAAAAUGUUGGAUCCACAUGUCAGAAGUUUAGUCAAUUGUCUUGAUGAAAAGUGUUCUUAUAGCAUCACUAUGCUCCAGCGGAAGAGGUGGGAGUACCUGCUUGGCCCUUUUCAUGACUUAUGAUGAAAGGGCUACCUAUUUGAUCAGCAUGAGAGAUAAAGUGCGUGGGCAAAAAGCUUCUGAACUUCAAGUACAAAUGAACGAGCUCGUGGUUUCAAGUGUCCCUUAUAAGAGUUGGGAUAGAUUGAUAAAUCAGAGUGGCCUUCUAGAUUUUAUGAAUGACCGAGUCUUAAAGUUGAAAGAAAAACCUCUUAACUAUAACACGACAAAAGUGUCAGGAAUUAUUACAUUUCUUAGAGACACGUAUGAGCAUGUCAACGACAACUAUACAAUGGAUGCUGCUAAUGGGCGUUUCUAUACUCCAGAAGACUUUGCGAAAUGCACUGACGUUGUCGCUCCAGGGUUACUUCCUAGUUACUUUGAACAUCAUGGUAGCUUGAGGGCACGCUACGAGAAGUAGUUCGGGUGAAGGAACUCCAGGGAAAUAAGAAGCAGAUCUUUGACGGCUCAAGACUAAGGACGAGAUGGAGAUGCUGGGAAUGGUGGAGGCACUUGUUUGGGGGCUUUCUAUUGGAAGUCAAGAUAGGAUAUCAUUAUAGAAUCCAGAUGCAAUCAUUAACGAAGUCAAUGGAGAGAAGAACCAAAUGGGAUGUCCAGACCAUAAAACUACACCUUUUGAAUUAUGAUAGCUUUAAGAACCAAAUCAGGCGGCUUU